Pelobates cultripes (western spadefoot toad) is the source of this 476-nucleotide non-coding RNA. Lineage: Eukaryota; Metazoa; Chordata; Amphibia; Anura; Pelobatidae. The record is from the annotation of a GenBank genome assembly.
CAAGCAACUAGCAGCCCAGACGUGUUCACCAUGAGCUCCCACGUCUGGGGACAAAAACCAGAGUGCUUUACCCAGCAAUCGGCACUCACAGAACACAAGCAACAUUAUUCACACCCGGGAGAGGUGUCUGCAUCAGACGGUGCCUUUCUCAAGCUCCUGCGAAAUUGGACUGACACACCGAGACUUGUGGCCUACACGAGACUGAGUCACUGAGACACGGCUGCUCUCCAGGCUCUUAAGCAGAACCUGGGACCCCUGUGAAAUCACUUCUCCCACCCCCCUUGGACCGGUGGGGGUCAUCCUGGUCAACACAGAGUUACCCCACUCACCUUGCUGAUUGGCAACAGGCAACUAAUAUUGCACAAAACUGAGACCCAGCACUCCUACUCAAAAUGGCAGACGCGCCCCCUUCAAGCGACACGUGUCAGCAGUCAGCCAAGCAAGAUGGGUGCACCACACUAGAUCGUAUGCUACAG